GUGAACAUACCUACAUGUUGCUUCGGCGGUCGGCCCCCCGGGCCCCCGGCCCCGCUCACGCGGGGCGUCCGCCGGAGGAUAACCAAACUCUGAUUUAACGACGUUUCUUCUGAGUGGCACAAGCAAAUAAUCAAAACUUUUAACAACGGAUCUCUUGGUUCUGGCAUCGAUGAAGAACGCAGCGAAAUGCGAUAAGUAAUGUGAAUUGCAGAAUUCAGUGAAUCAUCGAAUCUUUGAACGCACAUUGCGCCCGCCAGCAUUCUGGCGGGCAUGCCUGUUCGAGCGUCAUUUCAACCCUCAAGCACUGCUUGGUGUUGGGGCUCUACGGUUGACGUAGGCCCCCAAAACUAGUGGCGGACCCUCUCGGAGCCUCCUUUGCGUAGUAACUUUUGUCUCGCACUGGGAUUCGGAGGGAUUCUAGCCGUUAAACCCCCAAUUUUCUAAAGGUUGACCUCG
Molecule: ribosomal RNA, 456 nt
Filed under: Glomerella sp. FLS-2010
Lineage: Eukaryota; Fungi; Ascomycota; Sordariomycetes; Glomerellales; Glomerellaceae
Description: eukaryotic LSU rRNA
Rfam family: 5.8S ribosomal RNA (bases 135-288)
Source: RNAcentral